ACUGCUUACAUUCUCAAUGCAUGUUCUUAUUGUGUGCGUCAUUGCAUUUGCAAUGACUUUUACUUUCAGAUGAUGCCAUCGAGGGCAUUUAUUUUCUAGCUCCUCCCCCUCCAACCAGCUGGCUCCAUUCUGAUAGGCAACACCCACUUUUUAUGAACCAAUUUCUUUUUCACCCUGACAGACAAAUCACAUUGUGAAAGUAAAAUGGUUUGCAAAUGACAUUUUAUAUUGACUUCUUCAUGUUCUUUUGGCACAGGUCUGAUUUAGACGUCUUUACAAUACUUCACCCAACCUAUGAGUGAACAGUUGUCCUCACUGAUCACUAGACAACCUCCAACACCCUAAACAUCUGUCAUUUUGACACAACAAUUUCAGCAGAAGGACACGUCCACUUCGGCAACCUCCUUGACUAGAAUAGAUCGGUAUAAUUAAUUUACUCAGGACUGUUAUAAGGUGGCACAAAUCCGCGGAUUGAACUGAUAAGAAGAGGUGGCACCGUUGAUGCUGUUAUCAGUGAAACCAUUAUCCUCUUCAAUUAAGAUGAAGAUGUAAAUCCCUAAAGAGGAACUGCUUGUCAAAAAGAGACCUGGGAUUUAUCUCAAACUCAGUACAAAUUAUGUUGUAGAAUGCUUAUACUAGUAGUGUGGCUACCAUUGAUAUUAUCAUAGACUGUGUAUCCGCUUAAAUAAAUAGAUACAGUAUGUUUAAGAAACAAACUUAAAGGGAUAGUUUAGCUAAAAUGAAAAUCCUGUCAUAAUUUUAUCACCGUCAUGUUGUUCAAAACCUAUAUGACUUACAUUCUUCUGUGGAACAUAACAUAUAUUUUGAGGAACAUUUUAAAUGUUUUUGUUCAUACAAUGAAAGUCAGUGGGGAGCAAACAACAUUAAACCCCAAUGAAUUUCAUUUCAUGCAUGAAUUUCAUUUUAUGGAGAGAAAAAAAACAGCUUAUUUAUAUUAAAUGUGUAUACAGUGUAUUUCAAAUCUUAUAUAAAUGAACUGUACUUACAUAUCAUAUAAUAAAAUUUAUAAUAAUUAACUAUUCAUUUUAAGGACCAGUGCUCACUAUUAACUUGUUGUUUAUUAGCAUGCAUAUUGCUAUUAUACUGGCUUUUUAUUAGUACUUAUAAAGCACAUAUUAAUGCCUUAUUCUGCACAGCCAUAUUUUAGAUCCCCUAACCGUAUCCCAUUCUAUUAACUCAUGGUUAAUAGUGAAUAUGUGUUACCUAAUCUAAAGUGUUACCAAUCUUUUUUCAUCCUGUAAAUAGCAUUUUGAAUAAGUGCAUGAUGAUAAUUUUGAACUGUGUUGUUAUUUGAUUAAAUACAUUUUGAACAUACUAAAUUGCAACAGAAAUAUUGUCAUUAAAUAUAUAUUUUCACUCUUAAGUACAUCAUUUUAAAGUAUAUUACUUCAAUAUGAAUUACUCUUUUUACAAGUAUGCUGAAGGGUACUCUUUUUUCACAAGGGAAAAGAAAACCACUGACAUUUUUCAAAAUAUCUUCUUUUAUCUUCUCUAAGUCAUACAAGUUUGGAAUGACAUGAAGGUGAGUACAUGAUGGCAAGUUUUUAAUUUUUGAAUGAACAAUUCCUUUAAACAUACUGUCUAUAUCAAAUAUUGAUUUGAGAAUGUUAUAAAAUAUAUAUUGAGAAGGAGGAGGAGCCCCAUCAUCAUAAUUAUCAUGUUAAAUGGUGCUGUCGUGAGCCUCCACAGCAUUUAGCUGUUACUUUACAUAAAGUUGUCAAUAUCAUCAAGACUCAUUCGAUUACGCUCACAGUGAUGGGGGUGUUACUAGACUUUGAUGCGUGCCGUUUUAAACAGAGCCCUCAUCUUUCUGGAUCCUGGUGUGGGCAUGUCAACAACACACCAAAUUAGUGUUUAUUGAAUCAUUGUUCUAAAUGGGAAAUGAUAAUUGUGAGAGCCGGUGGCUUUGCACAUUACGCAAGUGCUGGUUCAUGACUUUUCGAGAAAAAUGGGCUGCCUUAUUAAAGCUGGCUGCCCCAGCUCCUAAUCUAUUUCUAGGAUUUCCGAAGUUUCAGCAAACUGGGGAUUAGAGGUUUUUUUUUUCCUUCACAGAUUUAGCCUCUGUCCAGCGCUCUCCUUGCUCCCAGAUGGAGCUGAGUUGUUUGCGUCUGCGCUUUUGGCAGUAGCGCCUGUGUUUUGUCUGUAUGUCUGAGGUGCUUUUGAGGUUUGUGAGGUCUUGCUUGUAAACCGUUUGAAGCACAAUACUCCCCUGUGAUAGGUAACCCAGUCAAAACAUAUUAGCACAUUUACCAAACAAAAGUGUCUAUAAACAGAAUUUGGAUGCCUGAUGCAAUAAAAACAACAAUAAUCUUUGAAGCUCCAGCAUUUGUUUUCCAUUAAUGGAUAGCAAUGCAGUCUUGCUCGCAUACGUGAGCUGUUCGUGUGAUAUCAGUGCGGUCUUUGUAAUGGCACCUGGCCUGUCUUGCACAUCAUACAGGCGUUUUGCCUAUUGCGGUCAUCCCCUAAAAGCUUUAUUCUGUCUAGUUCAAAUUCCCUUUGUCUUCAGAUUUCAGAGUUGGAGGUUGCACUCAGAAGUAGAUUUGGAGUGCUACCUCCAAAUUAAAUAGGUAAUAUAUUAUAUUAAAACUUUUAAACUUUAUAUUACAUUUUUUUUUCUCUUUUUUUUUUCUCCUGGUUUAUUAUAUAUAUAGCAUACUUUAGCAUACUUAUUGCUUAAGUACUUAUUACAAAAAUAAUAUGCUAAUCGCGGGACUAAAUGUUAGGUUUUCAGACUCUUGACUAUUCUAUGUUCUAUGUUAAAAUUUAAAUUUAUAUUAUAUUUCAAUAGCUCAAAUUUAUAUUAAAUUCAACGAGCUUAACUUUAUAAGUUU
Cyprinus carpio carpio is the source of this 2852-nucleotide long non-coding RNA. The record is from Ensembl. NCBI's taxonomy places the organism in Eukaryota, Metazoa, Chordata, Actinopteri, Cypriniformes, Cyprinidae.